RNAcentral lists this long non-coding RNA (621 nucleotides) under Brachypodium distachyon (stiff brome). RNAcentral's name for it is "long non-coding RNA (BDIS_LNC000458)". The record is from RNAcentral. Lineage: Eukaryota; Viridiplantae; Streptophyta; Magnoliopsida; Poales; Poaceae.
CGCGACAUGUGUGAAGAUCUCCACUGAUGCAUCCAUCAAGGAGAUGAUCCCCCCGGGUGCUCUUGUCAUGCUCACACCCCUUAUUGUGGGGACCUUCUUUGGCGUCGAGACCCUCUCUGGAGUCCUUGCCGGUGCUCUAGUUUCUGGUGUUCAGGUUGGAACAUUCUUUUUUUUUGGGACUAACACUUAACGUUGUAUUUACGUACCAUAUUUCAUUCACAGUUAUGUAGAUGUUCCCUUCGUAACUAUGUUGUUUUUAUUCAGAUCGCCAUUUCAGCAUCAAACACUGGUGGUGCCUGGGACAACGCCAAGAAGUAUAUUGAGGUAAAAAUCCUAUGGCUGCAGUAACACAAUUUAGUCAGGUGGUUUCUUUUACCUCUUUGUUUGCCAAACAUUUUAACCCUGGUUUUCCUUGGUUUUAGGCUGGCGCAUCUGAGCAUGCAAGAACCCUGGGCCCUAAAGGCUCAGAUUGCCACAAGGCUGCUGUGAUUGGUGACACCAUUGGGGAUCCCCUCAAGGACACCUCAGGCCCCUCGCUCAACAUCCUCAUUAAGCUCAUGGCGGUCGAGUCCCUCGUGUUCGCUCCCUUCUUCGCCACCUAUGGAGGCAUUCUCUUCAAAU